This 497-nucleotide ribosomal RNA is filed under the name uncultured bacterium. RNAcentral describes it as "partial 16S ribosomal RNA". It matches the Rfam family "Bacterial small subunit ribosomal RNA", at positions 28 to 507 of the family's 1533-position model. The record is from RNAcentral.
GAUGAACGCUGGCGGCGUGCCUAAUACAUGCAAGUCGAGCGAACAGACGAGGAUCUUGCUCCUCUUACGUUAGCGGCGGACGGGUGAUUAACACGUGGAUAACCUACCUAUAAGACUGGGAUAACUUCGGGAAACCGGAGCUAAUACCGGAUAAUAUAUUGAACCGCAUGGUUCAAUAGUGAAAGACGGUUUUGCUGUCACUUAUAGAUGGUUCCUCGCCGCAUUAGCUAGUUGGUAAGGUAACGGCUUACCAAGGCAACGAUGCGUAGCCGACCUGAGAGGGUGAUCGGCCACACUGGAACUGAGACACGGUCCAGACUCCUACGGGAGGCAGCAGUAGGGAAUCUUCCGCAAUGGGCGAAAGCCUGACGGAGCAACGCCGCGUGAGUGAUGAAGGUCUUCGGAUCGUAAAGCUCUGUUAGUAGGGAAGAACAAAAGUGUAAGUAACUAUGGACGUCUUGACGGUACCUAAUCAGAAAGCCACGGCUAACUACGUG